RNAcentral lists this long non-coding RNA (12154 nucleotides) under Vigna radiata. RNAcentral's name for it is "long non-coding RNA (VRAD_LNC009107)". The record is from RNAcentral. Lineage: Eukaryota; Viridiplantae; Streptophyta; Magnoliopsida; Fabales; Fabaceae.
CCAUCAACCAAAAAUCUUUCAUUACUUGCAGCAAAUCCUAAAUCUCUAAUUUUCAGAAUUCCUAUUUUUCCAAUUUUUAGAAACAUUAAAUUGUCAACCAUGAAAACACCAAAUUCGCAAAUUAAUCUCGCAAUUUUUUUUUCCAUCAGAAACUAAAUCGCACUCACAAGAACCUCGUGAACACCACCGUAGACCACUGUCCUCCUUCAACCUUCGAGUAGCACCAUUCUCAUGCAACCACCCUCUUCUACCAUGAAACCGUAUGGCGAUAAGACCGCCAGAUUGUGUUGCCACCAUCAUCGAACUACCUACAACCACAAAAAAAACCUACAAAUUCAAACACAAAAAAACCCUAACCAUUAUCGCACCCCCUAUCUACUAUUCAACUUGUAAGAAUCCACAAAACCCAGAAAGUCUUAUGUCCAGAAUGCAGAAAACCUAAAUUGCUUGAAUGGAGUAAUCCAAAAAAAGAGAAUUUGGUUAAUAUUACAAAAUUGAACCGAUCAUUCAAUAUUGAUUAAUAUAAACAUUACAUCCUUAGCAUCUUUAAUGCCAUAAGAAAAAAAAAACAAUUUGAAUUAUUUUUUAUAAAACAUGAGAGUAUUAUGAACUUCUAGAAAAAUAAAAGAACUGCUUUAUACAUACCUAAUCCAACUAGAGACCAAAAUCCAAAAUUUGUAUUAAGCUUAAUGUAAAUGGUAAUAUUUUUCUUUUACAUUGUAUAUGUUUUUUUGUCUGACAAAUUUAAUAGACUAAUAUAAAAAUUAAUAAGAACUUACUAGGAAUUAAAUUGAAAUUAAAGAGCUUUUUUUAACAUAAUAAUUGACUGCAAUUUCAAAAACAAAAUAAAAAUAAACUUCAAUAAUAAUGAGAAUAGAUUAAGAAUAAAACAUUUGAGCUCAGGUGGUUUGACUAACGAAUAUUGAUGUCUCUGAUCGGAUGAACAGUACAUCAGUGUGAACGACACAGAUCCAAAAUUUUCUUCUCUCUUUCCGUCGUUUGCGAACGAACCAACACACCUCAGCUGAUACUGUAACUAUGGGAGUGCCAGCCUUUUACCGGUGGCUCGCCGACCGUUACCCGCUUUCCAUCGCCGACGUAGUCGAGGAUGAACCCACUGUUGGCGACGACGGCGUUCCGUCGCCUAUCGACGCGUCUAAACCUAAUCCCAAUGGAAUGGAAUUCGACAACUUGUACUUGGACAUGAACGGCAUUAUCCACCCUUGUUUUCACCCCGAUGGCAGGGUUAGUACUCAGCGUUUCUUAUUUCCUCCUUACUCCGAGACUCCGAGCCUGAAUGGAAUAUGAAGUUCCGAAUUUCGGCUUAAACUUCACGUUUCAAGCUCUGGUUCUGAUUUUCUUAAUUUAAUUCAAUUAGCUAUUAUAUAGUGAAAUAAUGCCACGUUAUGUUUCUGCUUGAGUUGCUGAGUGGUUUUGCUCAAUUUACAUUAAUUCUUGGCAUGCAGCCGGCACCUGCUACCUAUGAUGACGUGUUUAAAUCCGUAUUUGAUUACAUUGACCAUCUCUAUUCGUUGGUUCGUCCAAGGAAGCUUCUCUACCUUGCAAUUGGUAUGAGUAUAAUACAUUUAUGAUGUUUUUUCUCAUUUUCGUUGGUUGCCAAUACCUUUUUUUCUGCCAGAAUGUCUUAUCCCUUCUGACGUACUCCUCUCUUCCUCCUUAGUAAUUUUCGUUUUCUAGCAAAAUGAACUUGACUCACAUAACACAAAAUUACACAAGUGUUCUCCUCUGCUAAACCUAGAGUAUUGCUCUGAGAUGUAGUGCUCCUUUGACUCAUUUUCACAUUUUAUCGAUAAAGAAAACUAAAUGUAAUGUAAUAAUGGAAAGAUUACCUAUAUCUAUAGACCCAACAAAGUUGAACGUCCUAAUAGGCUAUUCCUAUUCUAUGCUAGAAUAGGAUAAUUUAACAUAGGAAAAGGCUCCGGAGUUCGAGAAUGUAACUAAGUAAGUGUGCAAGACGGAGGUCAAGACCUCUAUUUACCUUAAUGUAACCCACAUUAAAACUGAUACUGGCAAAUUAAAAGCCUACAUUGCUGUAUUCAGUUUUACUAAAGCUACAAUCUUUCUGUGUGUCUAACUUUCAAACUGAUGGUUCCUAGCUUCUGUUUUUACUUUGAACCCACUUUCUCAUUUCAUUUGUUUCUUACCGCUCCAGCUUUUCCCUCUUCUUUCCUUACUUUGUAAUUUGCAGAUGGUGUUGCACCACGAGCCAAAAUGAAUCAGCAACGAUCUCGGCGUUUCCGAGCUGCUAAAGAUGCAGCUGAGGCUGUAAGAAUGUUAAUAUUGCUCUUGAAUGCAAGGGACUCCUACGUUUUCUGUGAGGAUGUUUGAGUUAUUGUGCUUAUGUGACCUUACAGGAAGCUGAAGAGGAAAGGCUGAGGAAAGAAUUUGAGGGUGAGGCAAACAUUUUGUCUUCUAAAGAGAAGCGUGAGACUUCAGACUCUAAUGUCAUUACCCCUGGAACUCAAUUUAUGGCAGCCUUGUCAGUGGCUCUCCAGUAUUAUGUACAGACUAGAUUGAAUCACAAUCCUAGCUGGCAGAAUACAAAGGUGCAAUUUACGCCUUAUCCAAUUAAUUCUUUAUAUGUCUUGAUACCUUCAAGAUGGAUCAUUCCUAUCUGUGGAGUAAUCCCGUAUAUUUUUUUCUUUACACAUUUGGUUUUCAGGAUACUUUGUCUCUAUAUAUUUAUUUAUGGGGCUGCAUUGGGUGAUUAAUUAUUUGAAGGUUAUAUUGUCUGAUUCAAACUCGCCCGGUGAAGGAGAACAUAAAAUAAUGGAAUACAUCCGGUUACAACGCAACCUUCUUGGUUUCAAUCCAAAUACUCGACAUUGUUUGUAUGGAUUGGUGAGUUUUUGUCCUGUUUCGAAUUUUCAUUUUAUCUUCAUUUGGUGUAUUUAUCCUUUCCCUGAUAUUUGCAUGAUACAAUCCUUAAACCAGGAUGCUGAUUUGAUUAUGCUCUCCUUAGCUACACAUGAGGUUCACUUCUCAAUAUUGAGGGAGGUUAGUUUCUAAUGUAUGACUUUUUAUGAUAUUAGCUAAUUGAUCUCUAUGGAUUGUCUCAAAUGAUUACUUAAUGCAUGAACAGGUAGUUACUUUACCUGGUCAACAGGAUAAGUGUUUUUUGUGUGGCCAAGUUGGCCAUUUUGCAGCUGAUUGUCAAGUUGAGGACUUUGAUACUCCUGAUGAUAGUCCAAUUCAUAAGAAGAAAUAUCAGGUUUGAGAAUUAAAGUCCAGCAUAUUGAUCUGAAUCUUUAUAUUUAUAUGCUUUCUGUUUUCAAUUUUAAGUUAAUUCAUAUUGUUUACAGUUUCUUAACAUCUGGGUGCUGCGUGAAUAUUUGCAAUUUGAAUUGGAGAUACCCAAACCUCCAUUUGAGAUUGACUUUGAACGAGUUGUGGAUGAUUUUGUAUUUCUAUGCUUCUUUGUUGGCAAUGAUUUCCUCCCACAUAUGCCAACAUUGGAGAUCAGGGAGGUAAGCAUCCAAAAUGCACCAUGUUACACUGAGCUGUAGCUGGAAACGAGAAAUAUGGCAUUGCCAUCUACAUCUUAUUGCAACUAUAUUUGGGAUGUGUGGGAUGAUCUAAACAUGCUUUGGUUAUGACUUUUGUUACUCUGAACAUGUCUCUUUCUAUUUAUGAAUGCUAUUAUCUUUGAUAAACUUUCUCCUAUUUCAGGGGGCUAUAAAUUUAUUGAUGCAUAUAUACAGAAAUGAAUUUUCUGUCAUAGGUGGUUAUCUUACUGAUGCAGGCAAGGUAAAUUUAUUUUCUCUAUAUUUGUAGUAUCUCAGUUAUAAUUUGUUCUUUAGUAUGAUAUAGUUUUAUCCAGCAAUGUCUCUUCACUUCAGUUGCUUGUUUUGUGCUUUGGAUAUGUUAGAAUUGUUUAACAUGUUUGAAUAGGUUGACUUGUUAGGAUAGUUUAACAUAUUUACGUAAUACCUAUUCUCACCUAGGUGUAGUCUUUUCAGAUCUUUCUGUGUAUCUCUAAUGUAAGGACUCUUGUAAAUACAUGAAUAAGCUUAGAGAUGCAUGAAUCUCUUGAGCAUUCUUUAUCAUAUUUUUGUUCUCAAGUUGGUAUUAGAACAGGUCAAUUUUGCCCUAUCUAUCAUAGUCCAAUGAAAAUACUGCCACUUGCUGUUGUCAGCCGCUGAUUGCUGUCAUUUUUUCUCUAUCAAACACCUGGUCAUGUUCAUCUCAUCAAGCGAUAGAGAAUCCACUGUUCACGGUUAACAUCUGCCACCACUAUCUCCCCCAAUAUGCCACCAUUGACCACUGCCAUCGAGGGACAGAGAACCCAACUAGUAACAAAGGCUGGAUUGUUUCCACGUGCACCCACAUACACCAUCUUUGUGCACCCAAUUAUGCACGUGGAAGACAAAUGCUGCAUGGCCUCCAUAGGUUUGUCGGCCUCCUUUGUCCAUAUUUGAACCCUUGGUUCUUGCUUUCCACCACUGAUUGUUUCAACCAAUAGGUUGGAGCCUCUAGUCCCUCUUGAAUCCCUUUUUUUUACCUUCUUCCUUCUUCAAAAUGUCUUCAAGACCUCCCACCACUUUUCUUGGGACUCUCACAAUUGCUUUAGAGAAGCUUAAUGGAGAAAAUUAUCUCUGUUAUCAUAAAUUUCCAAAACUAAAAUGUAGCCGCCAAGCACAAAAUCCCACUCAGUCUUGUUUGUCAACAUCUUACAUUUCUCAAACUGUGGAAAGUCAAAGUUCAUGGAUAAUUGAUUCAAGAAUGUCUACCUUCAUGGUGUCAAGAAUGUCUUUUUUCAUGGUAAUCUGGAAGAGGAAAUCUACAUGGAGCAACCUUCUAGCUUUGUUGCUUAGGAGGAGUAUGUGUUACAUCGUAAAUACACUAAAAUCUAUGAUUUUAAACUAUCUCUGCAUGCUUGGUUUGACAUAUCUAAUCUUUUAUUGUCAUGUAUAUCCCAAGAUAUACAUGUACUCAUUUGUGUAUUUUGAUGACAUAGUCAUUAAACAUAAUGAUGCCACUAAAAUUUCUUAGCUAAAGAAUCAUUUAUGCAAUUACUUUCAGACAAAAGAUCUUGGAUUUUUUAAAUAUUUUAUGGGUAUUGAAGUAGUUCAAUCAAAGGAAGGUAUUGUAAUUUCUCAAAGAAAAUUUGCCUUAGAUAUCCUAAAGGAAAUAAGUGUGAUUGAAUGUAGAGUAGUAGACCGUUAGUUUUAGGGUUUAUGGUUAAAUAAAAUAUUGAUGGCAGAACAAAGUGAGCCUUUCUAAAACUUAGAAAGGUAUGGAAGAUUUUUUAGGAAACUUAUUUAUCUCACCAAUAUUGGACCUAAUUUGUUCUUUGCAUUGGAUUGGUUAGUCAAUUAAUGCGAGUUCUUCGUCUUAAUCACUAAAAUGUUAUCAUUCGUAUCCUUAGAUGCCUCAAAAAGGAUUUAGCACAUGUAAUGGUGUAUGAAGAUAAGAGAAAUACUUAGAUGUAUGGGUGUUCUAAUGUUAUUUGGAUAGGAUCUCCUAUAAACACAUGUGUCAUAAUUGGAUAUUGUGUUUGCAUUGGAGAAAAUAUUAUUUCUUGGAAAAGCAAUAAAUAGAAUGUGGUUAUUCAACCCUGUGCCAAAAUAUAAUCAUUUAUGAAAUUGUGUGGAUAAAAUAAUUCAAAGAGUUAAAAUUUGUGAAAUUCAAUUAAAAUGUAUAGUGAUAACCGACAACUAUACACAGUACUUCCAAUUCUGAAUUUCUUGAAAGAAUCUAACCCAAAAAUGGAUUGUUAUUUCAUUUGAGAGAAGUUGUUGCUAAGGAAAUUUGCACGGAAUUUGUCAACUCCUAGGGGAUCAACUUAGGAAUAUUUUGAUUGAGUCCUUGAGAAGAUCUUGAAUUCAAUUUAUAUGUUCGAAGUUUAAUCCAUACAAUUUGUAUGUUUAAUACUUAAGGGAUGUGUUAGAAUAGUUUAACUUGUUUCAAUAGGUUAACUUACCAUGAUAGUUUAAAUUAAUUUUUGUAAUACUUUUCUGUCACCUUGGUGUAGUCUUUUUAGUGUAUCUCUUAGAAAUACAUGAAUCAACUAGGAGAUGCAUUAAUCUCUUAAGCAUUCUUUCUUAUAUUUUCAUUUUCAGUUCGAUAUAACUCUUGAAUUCUCAAUCUGCAAUGUGAAAUUCUUUAUACCUCGCAGGUUUUCUUAGAUAGAGUGGAACGAUUUAUCCAGUUUAUUGCUAUUCAUGAAGAUCAAAUCUUUCAGAAACGAGUCUGCAUUCAGCUGGUAUUCUGCUUUUAAAUGCAUUUCAUGAACUGAUAUUCCUUAGCUAUAUGUUCUUUUAAUAUGCUUUUAUAUGUUACUGCUUCCUGGCAUGUGAAUGUAUUUACAGGCUGCAGAAAAUAAUGAAGAGAUUAGAGCAAGGGCAAGAGGAGAAAUGCCUCGACAACCCCGAGCCUCGCUUGUGGAUAAGGUUAAAUAUUAGGAUAUAUUGUCAGAUUAUUUUCUUUAUUUAUGUUUUAAUUUUCUACAUCAUGUUUUGGAACACCACCUAAACUGCAGUCGGGACUGCAAAAGUAAUUCUACAGGUGUUUCCAAACAAACACUAAGGGUAGCAUGUCUGUGACAGGGAGGCAAGGCCAAUGUUUGACCCAUCAAAUGCAAUGAGAAAUUUAGAAAUGCUUAUCAAUUUCAAACUAAAAUGAUUCUGAUUUUUUCAGGUUAAAUUAGGAGAUCCUGGAUACAAGGAAAGAUAUUAUGCUGAAAAGUUUGGUGUAUCAAAUCUUGAGGAGAUUGAUAAAAUUAGGAAAGAUACCGUAAGUUCUAUGUCUGACAAAAGUCUAAUCAUGCAAAAAAAUUUGCAGUUGUUAGAUAUGCUUUUAUAUUCAAAUCUAAUGUUCACACAUGUUAUUUAAUCUUUUAAAUGCUGGCAGUGUCCAUUUAUAUGCAUUCUGACUUAGAAAGGAAAGCAUACAAACAUAUUUCUACCUUUUCUUUUUAAUUGAUGUGGCUAUACUUAGGGUCUUGAUUCUUGAACUUUACUGUUCCCUGUUCCAAAGGAGGAUAGGGAAUCUGCUUAUGCCCUUCAAGUGCAUGUUGUCUUCAAAUGGGUUUAGAUCUCUUGAUACUGGCAUAAACAAAACUCAAUGUUGCGCUGAAGAAUAGCUUCUUUUAUAAAUAUUUUGAAAAAUAUAAUGUUGAACUAGAAGUGGACAUCACGUGCAUUCUUAACAGGGAUAGGUGAUUUGUUGAUUCUGAAUAUUUUGCGUUCUUGUGCAUAUUAUGCUUCUCAUCCUCAUUAAUUUCUUGUAUUAGAACUGGAAUUUUGCUCAUCGUUUUAUUUGUCUUUUAGGUCUUGAAAUAUGUGGAAGGCCUUUGUUGGAUUUGUCACUAUUAUUAUCAGGGUGUCAGCUCAUGGAAGUGGUUAGUGUUUUUUUUUUUUUUUAAAUCUAGGUAAAUGAAGGUGCCACAAAAAGGUUUGAUAAGCCUAAGGAUGAGCAUCACAAAAAUUGGUAAAUUGUUGAUAAGAUUGCAAGAUGCAGGGAAGAACCCUACCAGAGAUAUAUACUCAUUGGUUGUUAAAAUCAUCCGCAUCCAUUUUCUGAAUUGCAAAAUGUUUUAUUACAAAUUUAGUUUUAGAGUCUUGUCUCAUUUUGUAAUUAAAUAAAAGAAGAAUAAGAUUCCUAUAUCUCAAGUAAAGCUGAUUUGGUCCCAUGGUUCAGUGAGCACUUUCUAAACUUCUGAUUCGGGGUUCAAAUCCAAAAUGCUAGCAAUAUAUUAAUAAUUUUAGUUUAGCUCUCCGAGAAUACUAUGCAUAUAAUCAGCUUUGUCUACUCAAAAUGUUGGGCCAUGGUCUUGAUCCUUCUCAUCAUGGCCUUGGCUUUGAUGUCAACAUCAGAAGUGUUCCUUCAAUUUGGUUGAAUUAUCCUUCAUGACUAUGUUCGAUCUUCUUAAUAUUACUUUUAUUAUUUCUUCAGGUACUACCCAUAUCAUUAUGCACCCUUUGCUUCUGAUUUUAAAGAUCUAGCUGAUCAGGAAAUAACUUUCUUACCGGGAGAACCAUUUAAACCAUUUGAUCAGCUCAUGGGCACCCUACCUGCUUCAAGGUUUCUUCCUUCUCUCCUGGUUAAUUUAAAUCUAUUCUAUCAUUCUUUUUUUCUGAUUUAUUUUUUGUUGCAGUUCAAGUGCACUGCCUAAGAAAUAUAGAGAUUUGAUGACUGAUCCUUCGUCACCUAUUUUUCACUUUUACCCUGCUGGUGAGAUAAUAGUCUAUUAAUUGUUUAUUAUUAAGUCUGUUGAAUUUGACAUUUUCUUUUUCUGUUAUGACAUGGAUAACUAUUUGGCAGAUUUUGAGAUUGAUAUGAAUGGAAAACGAUUUGCAUGGCAGGUAUUAGCAUGUUUACAAAUUAGGAAUGCUUUAGAAUGAAGUGGGAGUUAGGUUGUUUUCUAACUACUUUUGUGGGUGCUUUUCAGGGUGUUGCGAAGCUACCAUUUAUUGAUGAGAAGAAAUUGCUUGCUGCCACAAGAAAGAUUGAAGACACAUUAACGGUUUGGAAUUUUUAAGUGAAUGUGUGUAUUUAUGAUUAUUGAUGAAGAAAACUUGUGUCAUGAAAAUUGUUGGUCUUGAACUGCAUGAAAGAGUGAACUGUAAAAUUAAACCUUGAGGUUCUUCUUGAAUCCAAUAGGAAAUUUUAUGUUUAAAAUAAGAUCAAAGUUGCAUAAAAUGCUUGUUCAGCAUUCUCAACAGUAGAAAAUGAAGCUACAACUCUUUCAGUAGGAAUUGUCGAAUGUUGAUUGACUGUAGCCAUUUUUAACAAGAUAAAUUUGUUGAGUGUUAAUAGUCUUCCUCUGAUCUAUUUUUGGCUACUCAAUUGCUGGAUGAUUUGUUUUAGAUCUUUACUUUAAAAGAUAUUUCAAACAGGUAGAUAAGUUAGACAUUUCUUUUUGGUCUGAGUUAUCCAUAUUUUACAGCAAAACAAUACAUGAAAGCUUCUAAUUAUUGUUUCUUCAGUACUUAAUUUUCUUAUAUGUAGGAGGAAGAACAGUUUCGGAACAGUGUGAUGCUUGAUUUGCUAUAUGUCAAUCGUGCACAUGAUUUGGCUUCACAUAUCUUAUCUUAUUAUCAUGUUUCUAGUCAUUUAGCCCCACACGAAAGAUGUGUCAGGCCAAUUGACACAAAUGCUAGGUUAGUGAAUCUGCUAGUGGUCAUCACUCAUCAUUUUGAAUUCUAAUAGCUAUUUAAUUAGCUGAUAUAUCUGUUUUGUUAUCCUUGUUAGUAGUGGUGGGAUGAAUGGAUAUUUUUGGUUAUGUGAAAGAAAUGUUUUCAGCUCUGUUGUAUCUUCUCCCAUCAGAGGAUUGCAAGAUGUUGAAUAUAACCAAGUCUUGUAAGUUUUGUCCUCUGCCUACACCUAUGGAGUAAUUUAAUCUUCUGUCGAGAACUCAUGUUUAGUGCUUUUGUAUUUCAGAAAUAUUACAUUUCUUAACCCUCGUAAACACAAUCAUAUCCCGAAACUUCCAGAUGGUGUAGUAAUACCCAACAAGGUUAGUGUUCUGACCGACUACUCUUAGCAUCUGACUUGAAAAGUUAAUCAAUUCAUCUGAUGGAUGGAGCUACACAACUGUUGCUUAUUUAUAUACUCAUAAAACCAUUUCUUGUGUCAAUAACUAUUAACUUGGUUUGGGGAGUUAGGUCAGGCAGACUUGUGUAUAUUUUGACCUUUAUUAUGUUUUUAUUUUUCAAUUAGAUGGUGAUGCAUCUUUGAAAUAAUAGUUGUAAAUGUACUUAAGAAAUAUCAUCUUCAUUUAUCGUUUGCUUAAAUGCAUUUAGUGUUCCUUGAUGUUGGUGUCUAGGAAUUUCCCUCAAGAUUAUCCUAGCGAAUGGUCUCCACAGUAAGGCUGUAUACAUAUCUUACAUAACCUGUUUACUACGUUUGAUUAAAUAAUAAAACAUUUUCAUUCUCUAAAUUCUGUCUACAAAAUAUUCUGUUCUAUCUCUUCGAUUCUAAAUUCAACAAUACCUGCUGUUUCCUUCUCGGUUCCAUUAUAUAGAUCUCACUUUCACAUUGUUUUUGUUUGCAGGUAUUAAAAGCCACUGAUAUUAAACCUUUUCCUGUGCUGUGGCAUGAGGAGAAUAUUGGUCAGCGACUGCAAGCAAGAGAAAGGUGAGAAUCUGUUUCCUCGAGGAUGUCAGGUUUGGGCAAUAUAUUUCAUGUUCUCGCUGACUGCGUAAAUAUUCAAUAUUGCAGCGCUUGCCAAACUAAUGGUUGAGCUUAAUAUUCCAAAGGUUAUCAAAUCUGGAAUUCCAGACUAAUUUUUGAAUCAUAAACUGAAGAUCAUAUUGAACUGUAACAUUCAGAGAUGACUAAAAAUAGCUUGAAAUGUUCAUAUUCAAUAAAGGAUGCAAUAGUGCUGAAUGUAAUACAUUUAACAAAAUAAUUUACAAAACAAGUAAACCACUAGUCAAACAAAACAAUUGAGUCUCACCAUCAACCUGUGUAGAGGCCAAUAAAUAAUUCUUUGCAUGUUUCUUAUAAAUGGUAUUUCGUCCUAAGAGCAGCAUCCCAUAGUGUACUGCGGACAUAGGAUAAGAAUUACAUUUUAUUUGUGGUCUUUUGUUGCGAACAAUAGAUUGUGCUAAGACCUAAGGAAAGACUCUUCUUUCCUAUGAAAGCUACACAGACUGAUUGCAUGAAGCUUAUGCUUUAGCAUAGUUAGAACUGAGCCCUUAUAUUGCAAAAUAGCGUUCGUAUAGAGUCAGAGUGAUAGUCUAUUGCUGAAAAAUGUCACUGAUAACCGAGCCCUCCAAUAGAGUAGCUACCAAAUUGGGUGAGUGUGUGAUUGUGAAGUCCAUAUUUCCAAAAGAUGAAAACAUAGCAAUGGAUAAAUAGUGUGCAUGCAAUUGUGCUCCUCCAUGUCUUUUUCAUUUAACAUUUAAGCGUACCCAAUUUUCAACUUUUACUAGAAUCAAUGAAAGAUAAAGGAACAAAAGUUAACAAAUCAUUGAAUCAUAAUGGUGAUGUAUGAAAUUGCAACUAAUUUGUUUAUAUAGUUAUAUUUACAAAAUUUUGAAAAGUAAUUAUUAGAAUUUUCUUAUAGUAUACUUCUGGACAAUCUGAAGAAGUCAAUCUGAAAAGUUCUCGGUGACUUUUAAUCCAAGCACCUAGUUUUCUUGAUGCAUGGAACCUGUCAUUAUUCUAUUGGAGAUACUUGAUUUGCCUGACCAUUCUGUAUAUGAUGCAUCCCACAGGCCACGAGUAUCUGGAGCCAUCGCUGGAUAUCAACUGGGAGAAGCAGCUCAUCGACUUGUUAAGAACACUCUCAACAUUAAAUCAAAUGACACAUCACAUGGAAUGCUGGAGCAACCUCCACUCCAUAAAACGAACAGGCUUCGAUCAGCUGGAUAUGGAAAAUAUUAUGGUGAGAACGCAAGUGGUUAUAAUGGACAAUAUAAUCACCAUGGCAUGAUGACUACACCAAAAUAUGGUGGACAUAGUGACGGACAGCAUUUUAAGAUACGCGAUAGGUUACAGCGUGAAGAACAGUUCCACAAUGUGAAAACUGAGUUUUCUGCUCUAUCGAUGGGGGAAAGAGAGAGACCCAGGUCAUUAAGGCUUCCAAGUUCCAGACCAAUAGCCAAUUUACAACCCCGGUUUGUGCAGAACAUGGAUCCUUCAAUACCAUCUACAAAAUGGAUGACUAAACCACAACCUACGAAUGGCAUGCCUAAUAGGAAUCAAGAAGCUGCAUUGGGGCCAACAACUUAUGAUAAGCAGACCAAGAAGGUUUACCAAGUUAAAAUACGUCAGCUAGAUACACCAGAACCUGCGAAGCAAUAGUGGUUGUCGUGGAAUUGGUGGCCAGUUGUUAAGCACAAUUUGCGGCUAGGAAUCAGCACUAACUGUUGCUCUGUUCCAUAGUGUGGAACUAUGUUAUUGUGCUGCUGUAUAUAUAAUCAUGUAUCGUUUAGAGCUUACCAGCUUUGCGUAGCAAUUAGCCUGUAUGUACAUACAUACCAGAUGUGAAUAUAAUUUGAUUUGUUUAAUAGGAAAUGCAGGAUAUUUAUCUGGGAUUGUCAUGCCCAGCAGCAUCUCUGUAUGUUGUAUGAGAAAUAGAAACUGUUACAUGGAGGAAGCUGCUCUAGUGACCUUCUGACAAUUCUGGUCGGCUUUAUUUGAUGAAAUGUUCAAGAUACUGAAAGAGAGGGGUGCUCUUAUC